This 393-nucleotide ribosomal RNA is filed under the name Lipophrys pholis (shanny). RNAcentral describes it as "partial 12S ribosomal RNA". It matches the Rfam family "Bacterial small subunit ribosomal RNA", at positions 791 to 1385 of the family's 1533-position model. The record is from RNAcentral. Lineage: Eukaryota; Metazoa; Chordata; Actinopteri; Blenniiformes; Blenniidae.
UAUGCCUAACCAUAAACUUAGAUGGUAAGUUACUUAUACCAUCCGCCCGGGAACUACGAGCAUUAGCUUAAAACCCAAAGGACUUGGCGGUGCUUAACAACCCCCUAGAGGAGCCUGUUCUAGAACCGAUACCCCUCGUUAAACCUCACCCUUUCUAGCUUAUUCCGCCUGUAUACCGCCGUCGCCAGCUUACCCUGUGAAGGUUUCAUAGUAAGCAUAAUUAGUAAAACCCAAAACGUCAGGUCGAGGUGCAGCACACGAAAGGGAAAGAAAUGGGCUACAUUACCUGUUUACAGGUUAAUACGAAAAGUGUACUGAAAAAUACACUAGAAGGAGGAUUUAGUAGUAAGAGGGGAGCAGAGUGCCCCACUGAAACCGGCCCUUAAGCGCGCA